AUUGAACGCUGGCGGCAGGCCUAACACAUGCAAGUCGAGCGGAUGAAGGGAGCUUGCUCCUGGAUUCAGCGGCGGACGGGUGAGUAAUGCCUAGGAAUCUGCCUGGUAGUGGGGGAUAACGUCCGGAAACGGGCGCUAAUACCGCAUACGUCCUGAGGGAGAAAGUGGGGGAUCUUCGGACCUCACGCUAUCAGAUGAGCCUAGGUCGGAUUAGCUAGUUGGUGGGGUAAAGGCCUACCAAGGCGACGAUCCGUAACUGGUCUGAGAGGAUGAUCAGUCACACUGGAACUGAAACGCGGUCCAGACUCCUACGGGAGGCAGCAGUGGGGAAUAUUGGACAAUGGGCGAAAGCCUGAUCCAGCCAUGCCGCGUGUGUGAAGAAGGUCUUCGGAUUGUAAAGCACUUUAAGUUGGGAGGAAGGGCAGUAAGUUAAUACCUUGCUGUUUUGACGUUACCAACAGAAUAAGCGCCGGCUAACUUCGUG
RNAcentral lists this ribosomal RNA (484 nucleotides) under uncultured bacterium. RNAcentral's name for it is "partial 16S ribosomal RNA". It matches the Rfam family "Bacterial small subunit ribosomal RNA", at positions 30 to 507 of the family's 1533-position model. The record is from RNAcentral.